Molecule: long non-coding RNA, 894 nt
Organism: Pan troglodytes (chimpanzee)
Lineage: Eukaryota; Metazoa; Chordata; Mammalia; Primates; Hominidae
Exons: 6
Source: RefSeq, a predicted model, not a curated record
CUUCUCACCUGGAGAUGGCUGUAGUGGGCAGGCUGUUUUGGCUCGGCUUCUACAGACCUAUGCAGCAGGUUUUGUAUUGGGUUCAACCUACAGGCCAAUAGAUGACAUUUGCAAGUGAAGAGCUGGAUAGUGGGGUUCCUGGUGUUCCGCGGAAGAGGCCGGACACAAUUGGGCUGGAGCCUCUGGCUUGCCCAUGUGUAUCCCAAUGGCAAGCACAGGCACCAGCCCUGAAAAGGGUGGCUGGGAGAUGCUCUUAGGGACAUGCCCCAGAGAUCUCCGUGUGGGGCAGAGUGAGGAGGCUUCACUGGCUCCCCCAUGAUGUCGUCUUUGGUACUUGGCAUUCUUCCCAGAGGAAGAUAAUGGGAAUCAGACAUGCUUCUGAUUGUCCCACCAGCCAGCUGCCGGUUUCAGCCCAAGCCAUUCUGAAUUGGAGGAUGAUGGUCUAGCUUUACUUCUCAAAUAGGCUACUCCUUCCCACAUGGUCAGGUCGCAGAUGAAAAAUCAGUCUCCUGGGAAAGCUCUCAGCCUGAUUGAGAAAGAAGACCUAUAAAGAAACAAUUACAAUACAGCACUCAAAAUGUCACAGGGGAAAAAGUUUCUAUAGAAAAUGGAAGACAAUGUCUAAAUUCAGCGGCCUAAACCUAGGUCAGUACGCACUCAGGACCUGGAAUGUGACUGAACAUGCAUGUCAAGGUGUCAAUUACUCCUCCUUAAGGAGCUAAACCUGCAGCAUGACUCAAUUUCCUUGAGAUGAAGGACAUUUAAAGAUGUCAUCAAACCUCAUCAGUGGGGGAUAUUUUAAGAACAACCACCAAUAUUAUUACCCUGGAGACACUUAAUUCUACCACCCUUCACUGGCCACCACAAAAAUAAACCAAAUAAUUAAAAAAUUUU